CAUUAGCAUAUUGUUACCAAAGCUGUGUAGGAGGAAACACCAUUCUGUAUUAACUUUUCCAAGAUGCAGUUUCCUGGCAUUUUUCUUCUACGUGGAGCAUAAUUGCAUUUUUAGUAUAGUCUGUUGCAUAUUCCUUCAGUGCACUUUCCGGUUUGCUUUCCAUUUCUCCUAAUUGGAAGCAGGGACAGACUUGAUCUUGUGCUUAAUUUUUCUGUUCGCUCCCACUUACAAGAUGGGCAAGAUGGCAGAAGGAUGAAUGAUUCUGAGGAAAGAGAUAAUAUCAUGCUGGAAGGGAUAUAUUGCACUGGUUACUUCUGACAACCAAGGCAGAUAUCAAGGCAGAGCAGGCAAGGGCCAACUCAACUGCUGUUCUCAGUCUAUGAAGCCAAGAAAAGUGAGGGUGACGAGAGGCUGCUGCCAACUCACUGGAGAUGGUGCUGACAUUGUGUGUGGACAACAGUUUUUAAGGCAUUGUCAGUACAGAAGCCAGGCUCUUCUUAUCAGAAACCAGAGAGAGUCCCUUUCCCAUGUCCCUGGCAACGACAUGCGGUGGCACUGAGUGACACCAAGGUCCUGGCUGAAACUACAAUAGUAAGUGACGCUAAAUGAUUAAUGUCCUUUAUUUCUUCACACAAACCAAACUAGAUAAUAUCCAAUCUCUCCAUUUCAUGUAAUCAAAAAACUGUACUAAGUACUUCAGUUUAGAAAUUAUGUCAACAGGUUUCUGGAAAUGGUUGAUUAGGUCUACUUUGGCAGAUUUACUGUCAACAUUGUUGCAUUGUGAUAUGAAUAUCCAGACCAGCCAAAGUACUUAAUUUGCUAGUGCUAACCAUUUUCCUCUCACUUUUAAAAAUAAUAAAUUUGCAGAAAUUAGGCUCACAUAGUACCUGAGAAAUAAAGUUAAUAAACUCUGAAAACAACCAUCUUCAAGGAGUAAUUUAUUUUGCUCUUGGUCUUUCAGUGUUUCAUACUUGCCUGGGGAUGACCAACAAUGUUAGGAUAUCUGUGUUUGAAGGAAGAAUGAUUAUUUGCUCAUGUUAUAGUUCUAUACCUGGUGUCUAAUUACCUCUUAAAAGAGACAAUAAAAGACUGGCAAUUCUGCCCAAACUUCACUGAUAGUCAUAUUGUACUGUCUUUGGUACCAUUGCCUUCUGUUUACUCAAGCAUGUAUCAGUGGGAGUGCAUGAGCUAGCCUAAACAAUACAAUUAUUUAUCAUAUAUUAUUUACUAUUACAUUUUUUCUCUUAUUGUGUUUUCUGACAGCACAUAAUUUCCUUCUUUAAGAGGACAAAACUUUUAGAUUAAUGACAAUAUACCAGCUGAUCUACUGUUGUGCCAAGCAUUAAAAGACUAAUAUAAAGGUAAGGUUGUUCAUUUAAGCAGAAAGGAGUUGCUUGUAGCUUUGAUGGAAGCCUGUCUUCCCGUACUGCCUCCAUGUGACAUUUCUGGCUCAAUUUUCUGCUUCUCCGAGUCUUCAGCGACAAUCCUUUCCUUUGACUAUUUUGAAUCACAAAGGAAGCUUGAUUAUGAAAAUUAACAGCAUGUCAGAGAAAGAAAUAUGGAGUUAUUAUGAUAUUCUUGGAAAAUAGAAGUAAUUUGGAAGCGUAUUUUCUAAAGUCUGAAUUCAAAGAUUAAACCCUCAACUGCCAUAAAGUAAGGUUAACUGUUAGUUUAAGGUAACAGUUUUAACUAGAGUAACUGCAUUCAUUUAUGCUAGCAUGAGUUGGCUCUGUGUUUUAGAAAGAAAGUGUGCUCCCAAAUUCCAGUGGAUAGUAUUUUAGCAAACACUUUGAUUCUACUCACUAAGCCCUUUGCAGCUUAGAAAGCUUGGGUCAUUCUAAAGUGAUGUUAGCUUGGCUGUGUCCUGGGGAUCACCAAUAAAAAUCAAUUUAAAGAAUGAGAAUAUUCAAUGCUCACAGGUUUUUUUUUCAACUCUGAGUGAAUCUAAAUCACUCAGAUUUUCAGCAAAAGGGCUAAUAUGCUAGAAGGACCAAGAGGUUAUUGUAAAGGUGUACAAUAUCAUAGUUAUUUUACUUAUUUAAAUGUACCUUGGCAGCAAAACUAUAGUAUCUGGCAGCAUUUAGAAAGCAAUCUUGAACUGAUAUAAAGUGGCAUGCUUACUACUGCUUUUCCAUAUUAAAGAGAAAAUUCUGUUUUUGAAAGAUGACUGUCAUGGUUUAACACAGUCAACAAAUGAACCUGGUAUAAAUGUUUGCUCAGUUCCCCCCUGGUGGGAUGGGAGAGUGAAUAAGAAGUACAAAAAUGAGCAAACUCAUGGGUUGAGAUAAAGACAAUUUAAAAGGUAAAGCAGAAGCCACACAUACAAGCAUAAAAACUGAGGAAUAAAUUUUUCGCUUUCCAUGGGCAGCCAGGUGUUCAGCCAUCCCCAGGAAAGCAGUGUUUCAUCAUAUGUAGUAGUUGGGAAGACAAAUCCAGAACUCUGAACACCUCUUCUUCCUCCUUCUUCUCUUCCCAGUUUUAUAUGCUGGACAUGACACCAUAUGGUAUGGAAUAUCCCUUUGGUCAGCUGGGGUCAGUUGCUCCAUUUGGAUUCCCUCCAAUUUCUUGGAUACCCCGGACCUACUCAUUGAUGGGGUAGUGUGGGAAGGAGUUAUUCCUGAGUAUGUAAGCACUGCUCAGGAAUAGCUAAAUAUCUCUGUACUAUCAACACUACUUUCAGCACAGAUCCAAAAUGUACCUGUAUACCAGCUACUGUGGAUAAAAUGAAUUAUAUCCCAGCCUGAACCAGCACUGACUCAAAGAAAAUUGCUACAUUCUUUGAUUCAGAGUGUGACGGUCCAAAGAGCAGCUGCCUUGUUCUAAUGUAUUCAGAAAUUGUUACAUUAUUUGUGAAAAAUAUGCUUUGUGAUAAAUUGUAUCAUUUUGCCUUUU
Molecule: non-coding RNA, 2892 nt
Organism: Taeniopygia guttata (zebra finch)
Lineage: Eukaryota; Metazoa; Chordata; Aves; Passeriformes; Estrildidae
Source: RefSeq, a predicted model, not a curated record